UGGAAGAGUUCGAAAAUAAUUAUAAUUUCUCAUUUAAACAUUUUUCUCAUACAUAGACAUCAAGUUCAUAUCGUUUAGUAAUUCACACGAUAGCCUCGUACAAUUAUAGUAAAAAAUGAGACAUUCUCAUAACUCGGUAAAUAUCAUCUCAUUUUCACGACAUAGUUAUGAGCUGAUAUCUAACCAUCAUCUCAUCACAUCGUAUGUGAUCCACAAAAAAUGUACUCUUUGACUAAAAUCUGAAAUUCGGCCCUCGAGCUGAGCACUUUUGCCACCGGCCUUUGGCCCCCUUCGUGC
Molecule: long non-coding RNA, 297 nt
Filed under: Olea europaea (common olive)
Lineage: Eukaryota; Viridiplantae; Streptophyta; Magnoliopsida; Lamiales; Oleaceae
Description: long non-coding RNA (OEUR_LNC013110)
Source: RNAcentral